GGCGCUAUGGUGUAGUGGCAGCACAUGGGAUUCUGAUUCAGCUGAGAGGUAAAGGUUCCCAUAACCCAGGUUCGAACCCUGGUAGUACCU
Guyanagaster necrorhizus is the source of this 90-nucleotide non-coding RNA. The record is from the annotation of a RefSeq genome assembly. Lineage: Eukaryota; Fungi; Basidiomycota; Agaricomycetes; Agaricales; Physalacriaceae.